GCGCUCCUGGUAUGUUCGCUACUUCGAUUCGAUUCCAUCUGUUCCGAUCCGAUCCGAUGGCCGGUGGUGUGGUUGCAUUGCACGGCCCCAUGAGUGGGGUUCAAAGAUCACCGUCACCGGCUGUGUGAGGCCACGAAUGUCAUCUUGGUCCCCUUACUACUAUAUUCCUGAUCCACGAUUGUCAUCUUGGUCCCCUGUACGAGUUGAUUAUAUGAUGUUGUGUUCUCAAGUUUUACUCUGAAUUUGUUAGAUGCUGGAUGAAAUUCACGGCUAAGCAAUUUUUUGGUAUGUCUUAACAGAAUGGUGGAAGGGAGGUUGAACUGAUAAAUUUCUGCAACCACCUUGAGGUCCAUAACGUUCUCCUAAUUAUAUGCAGCCCAAUUCGUAAAGUUGUAUUUGUUUGAGGGAGAGGACUGCCUGUGAUCAGAAGCAAACAACUAAUGUGGGUUUCUGCACUACUAAUGUGUGAGAGAUGGUAAGAGUAUGUGCUAUGUAUUUCUGUGUGUGCACUACUAAUGGGGAUUGACUGUUCAUGCUGCUACAGUAGUUUCAUGAUCGAUUAUGGAAACAAGAAAAUUACU
Molecule: long non-coding RNA, 581 nt
Filed under: Triticum aestivum (bread wheat)
Lineage: Eukaryota; Viridiplantae; Streptophyta; Magnoliopsida; Poales; Poaceae
Description: long non-coding RNA (TAES_LNC003767)
Source: RNAcentral